RNAcentral lists this ribosomal RNA (315 nucleotides) under uncultured eukaryote. Its description in RNAcentral is "partial 18S ribosomal RNA". It matches the Rfam family "Eukaryotic small subunit ribosomal RNA", at positions 1470 to 1796 of the family's 1831-position model. The record is from RNAcentral.
CCCUUAGAUGCUCUGGGCCGCACGCGCGCUACACUGGUCGAUGCAACGAGUUUCUUUCCUUGGCCGACAGGCCUGGGCAAUCUUUGAACAUCGAUCGUGAUCGGGAUAGACUCUUGUAAUUUUUGAUCUUAAACGAGGAAUUCCUAGUAAACGCAAGUCAUCAGCUUGCAUUGAUUACGUCCCUGCCCUUUGUACACACCGCCCGUCGCACCUACCGAUUGAAUGGUCCGGUGAAGCCUCCGGAUUGGCGCGCACCCCGGUGCCGCCGAGAAGUUGGCUAAACCUUACCAUUUAGAGGAAGGUGAAGUCGUANCA